UCAAGCGAAUAAGCGCACACGGUGGAUGCCUUGGCGGUCAGAGGCGAUGAAGGACGUGGCAGCCUGCGAAAAGUAUCGGGGAGCUGGCAACAAGCUUUGAUCCGGUAAUGUCCGAAUGGGGAAACCCACCCGCUUGCGGGUAUCCUGCAGUGAAUACAUAGCUGCUGGAAGCGAACCUGGUGAACUGAAAUAUCUAAGUAACCAGAGGAAAAGAAAUCAACCGAGAUUCCGUAAGUAGCGACGAGCGAACGCGGACUAGCCCUUAAGCUGAUUUGGUUCUAGGAAAACGCUCUGGAAAGAGCGGCCAUAGAAGGUGAUAGCCCUGUAUCUGAAAGGGCCAUUUCAGUGAAGACGAGUAGGGCGGGGCACGUGAAACCCUGUCUGAACAUGGGGGGACCAUCCUCCAAGGCUAAAUACUACUGACCGACCGAUAGUGAACCAGUACCGUGAGGGAAAGGCGAAAAGAACCCCGGAGAGGGGAGUGAAAUAGAACCUGAAACCGUGUGCGUACAAGCAGUAGGAGCUCCGCAAGGAGUGACUGCGUACCUUUUGUAUAAUGGGUCAGCGACUUACUGUUCGUGGCAAGCUUAACCGUAUAGGGGAGGCGAAGGGAAACCGAGUCUGAUAAGGGCGCAUAGUCGCGGGCAGUAGACCCGAAACCGGGUGAUCUAGUCAUGCCCAGGGUGAAGGUGCGGUAACACGCACUGGAGGCCCGAACCCACUCCCGUUGCAAAGGUAGGGGAUGAGGUGUGAUUAGGAGUGAAAAGCUAAUCGAACCCGGAGAUAGCUGGUUCUCCUCGAAAGCUAUUUAGGUAGCGCCUCAUAUGUAUCCUCUCGGGGGUAGAGCACUGUUAUGGCUAGGGGGUCAUCGCGACUUACCAAACCAUUGCAAACUCCGAAUACCGAGACGGACUGUAUGGGAGACACACGGCGGGUGCUAACGUCCGUCGUGAAAAGGGAAACAACCCAGACCCACAGCUAAGGUCCCAAAUUUUGUGCUAAGUGGAAAACCAUGUGGAAAGGCACAGACAGCCAGGAGGUUGGCUUAGAAGCAGCCACCCUUUAAAGAAAGCGUAAUAGCUCACUGGUCGAGUCGGUCUGCGGGGAAGAUUUAACGGGGCUAAGCACAGAACCGAAGCUUGGGGUGCAUACUUUGUAUGCGCAGUAGAGGAGCGUUCCGUAAGCCGUUGAAGGUGGAUUGAGAAGUCUGCUGGAGGUAUCGGAAGUGCGAAUGCUGACAUGAGUAACGAUAAUGCGGGUGAAAAACCCGCACGCCGAAAGCCCAAGGUUUCCUUGCGCAACGUUAAUCGGCGCAGGGUGAGUCGGCCCCUAAGGCGAGGACGAAAGUCGUAGUCGAUGGGAAGCAGGUUAAUAUUCCUGCACCUCGCGUAAGUGCGAUGGAGGGACGGAGAAGGUUAGGUGUACCAGGCGUUGGUUGUCCUGGGGAAAGGCGGUAGGUUUGGAUCUUUGGCAAAUCCGGGAUCCUUUAAGACCGAGCACCGAGACGAGCCUUUAUGGCGAAGUCACUGAUACCACGCUUCCAGGAAAAGCUCCUAAGCUUCAGCUUACGCAGACCGUACCGUAAACCGACACAGGUGGGUAGGAUGAGAAUUCUCAGGCGCUUGAGAGAACUCGGGUGAAGGAACUAGGCAACAUGGCACCGUAACUUCGGGAGAAGGUGCACCCUUUUUGGUGGCUCGUGCGAGCUAUAGCUGAAGAGGGUCGCAGUAACCAGGCCGCUGCGACUGUUUAUCAAAAACACAGCACUCUGCAAACACGAAAGUGGACGUAUAGGGUGUGACGCCUGCCCGGUGCUGGAAGGUUAAUUGAUGGGGUCAGCCGCAAGGCGAAGCUCUUGAUCGAAGCCCCAGUAAACGGCGGCCGUAACUAUAACGGUCCUAAGGUAGCGAAAUUCCUUGUCGGGUAAGUUCCGACCUGCACGAAUGGCGUAACGACAGCGGCGCUGUCUCCACCCGAGACUCAGUGAAAUUGAAAUCGCUGUGAAGAUGCAGCGUUCCCGUGGCAAGACGGAAAGACCCCGUGAACCUUUACUAUAGCUUUACACUGAACGUUGAGUUCGUCUGUGUAGGAUAGGUGGGAGGCUAUGAAACCAUGGCGCUAGCUGUGGUGGAGCCAUCCUUGAAAUACCACCCUGUCGUGCUUGACGUUCUAACCUGGGCCCAUUAUCUGGGUCGGGGACCGUGUAUGGUGGGUAGUUUGACUGGGGCGGUCUCCUCCUAAAGAGUAACGGAGGAGCUCGAAGGUACGCUCAGCGCGGUCGGACAUCGCGCACUGUGUGCAAAGGCAUAAGCGUGCUUGACUGCAAGAUCGACGGAUCAAGCAGGUAGGAAACUAGGACUUAGUGAUCCGGUGGUUCUGUAUGGAAGGGCCAUCGCUCAACGGAUAAAAGGUACUCCGGGGAUAACAGGCUGAUACCGCCCAAGAGUUCAUAUCGACGGCGGUGUUUGGCACCUCGAUGUCGGCUCAUCACAUCCUGGGGCUGUAGUCGGUCCCAAGGGUAUGGCUGUUCGCCAUUUAAAGUGGUACGCGAGCUGGGUUCAGAACGUCGUGAGACAGUUCGGUCCCUAUCUGCCAUGGGCGUUGGAGAUUUGAGAGGGGCUGCUCCUAGUACGAGAGGACCGGAGUGGACGAACCUCUGGUGUUCCGGUUGUCACGCCAGUGGCAUUGCCGGGUAGCUAUGUUCGGAAGCGAUAACCGCUGAAAGCAUCUAAGCGGGAAGCGCGCCUCAAGAUGAGAUCUCCCGGGGCACAAGCCCCCUGAAGGAACCAUGUAGACUACGUGGUUGAUAGGUCAGGUGUGUAAGUACAGCAAUGUAUUGAGCUAACUGAUACUAAUGAUCCGUGCGGCUUGACCA
Molecule: ribosomal RNA, 2875 nt
Filed under: Stenotrophomonas pavanii
Lineage: Bacteria; Pseudomonadati; Pseudomonadota; Gammaproteobacteria; Lysobacterales; Lysobacteraceae
Description: 23S ribosomal RNA
Rfam family: Bacterial large subunit ribosomal RNA
Source: RNAcentral